This 756-nucleotide ribosomal RNA is filed under the name uncultured Nitrososphaerota archaeon. RNAcentral describes it as "bacterial SSU rRNA". It matches the Rfam family "Archaeal small subunit ribosomal RNA", at positions 102 to 859 of the family's 1478-position model. The record is from RNAcentral. Lineage: Archaea; Thermoproteati; Nitrososphaerota.
AGUUAAUCUAACCUAUGGACGGGGAUAACCUCGGGAAACUGAGAGUAAUCCCCGAUAGAUCACAGUGCCUGGAAUGGCCUGUGGUUCAAAUGAUUUAUCGCCGUAGGAUGGGACUGCGGCCUAUCAGCUAGUUGGUGAGGUAAUGGCCCACCAAGGCUAUAACAGGUACGGGCUCUGAGAGGAGGGGCCCGGAGAUGGGUACUGAGACACGGACCCAGGCCCUAUGGGGCGCAGCAGGCGAGAAACCUUUGCGAUGUGCGAAAGCACGACAAGGUUAAUCCGAGUGUCUCCUGCUAAAGGAGUCUUUUGCCGGUCAUAGAACCACCGGUGAAUAAGGGGUGGGCAAGUUCUGGUGUCAGCCGCCGCGGUAAAACCAGCACCUCGAGUGGUCAGGAGGUUUAUUGGGCCUAAAGCAUCCGUAGCCGGCUGCUCAAGUUUUCGGUUAAAUCUAUGCGCUUAACGUAUAGGCCGCCGAAAAUACUGGGCAGCUAGGGAGUGGGAGAGGUACACGGUACUCAAUAGGAAGGGGUAAAAUCCUUUGAUCUAUUGAUGACCACCUGUGGCGAAGGCGGUGUACCAGAACACGUUCGACGGUGAGGGAUGAAAGCUGGGGGAGCAAACCGGAUUAGAUACCCGGGUAGUCCCAGCUGUAAACGAUGCAGACUCGGUGAUGCCUUGGCUUGUGGCCAAUGCAGUGCCGCAGGGAAGCCGUUAAGUCUGCCGCCUGGGAAGUACGUACGCAAGUAUGAAACUUAA